CCAGACUCCUACGGGAGGCAGCAGUGGGGGAUAUUGCACAAUGGGGGAAACCCUGAUGCAGCGACGCCGCGUGUGGGAAGACGGUCCUCUGGAUUGUAAACCACUGUCCCCAGGGACGAAAAUGACGGUACCUGACUAAGAAGCCCCGGCUAACUACGUGCCAGCAGCCGCGGUAAUACGUAGGGGGCAAGCGUUAUCCGGAUUUACUGGGUGUAAAGGGAGCGUAGACGGCGGCGCAAGUCCGGAGUGAAAGCCCACGGCCCAACCGUGGGACUGCUCUGGAAACUGUGCGGCUUGAGUGCGGGAGGGGCAGGCGGAAUUCCUAGUGUAGCGGUGAAAUGCGUAGAUAUCAGGAGGAACACCGGUGGCGAAGGCGGCCUGCUGGACUGCGACUGACGUUGAGGCCCGAAAGCGUGGGGAGCAAACAGGAUUAGAUACCCCAGUAA
RNAcentral lists this ribosomal RNA (446 nucleotides) under uncultured bacterium. RNAcentral's name for it is "partial 16S ribosomal RNA". It matches the Rfam family "Bacterial small subunit ribosomal RNA", at positions 331 to 793 of the family's 1533-position model. The record is from RNAcentral.